CUGCCAGCCACAAGAGCAGAGGAACACCCAGGGAAGAAGGGAACAAAGCAUUUUAGUCGCGUGUUCAGAGGAGCAAAGAACAGGAUAUGAACAACUUGGUGCCAGACAACUGAAUUUCCUGGGUGUAAAGUCUACUGCUGACUGCAGCUGAGGCACCAAUUGCUACAUUGUACGGCUGCAGUUGCUGCUUGCUUCCCAUCCUUCCCCACAAGGGGAAGUUAACUGGAUUACAGUGCAUACUCCCUGCACUGCUGUUUGACGCCAGGUGGCAGAAGAUUGGGGAGCAAGAAUUACAGUCCAAUUACAGUCCAA
Trachemys scripta elegans is the source of this 312-nucleotide long non-coding RNA. RefSeq lists it as uncharacterized. The transcript has 3 exons. NCBI's taxonomy places the organism in Eukaryota, Metazoa, Chordata, Testudines, Emydidae. The record is from RefSeq and is a predicted model, not a curated record.